AGCUAACGGAACAGAAUCAAGAAAGGGAAUAGGUGCCACGACAUCCUGGCGAAAUACUUGGUUUUGAAGAAGGACGAAAGGAAGGCGAGACCUGGGAAUCCUCGCUGCUCUUUCGCUCUUAGCUGAGGUCACCAUCUGUUAAGUCUUCCUAGGUUUACCUCGGUGGAAGCCAACAAUCUUCUCCGGUUGGAGCAGUUGGAUGGUCGACUACUCAAAGCACUGACACCCUACACUUCCGUGAAGUCCAAUAGACAAAGACCAUCGACUGUCCAAGCCCCCAAGGGGGUACCCCAUCCAGCGAAACCAGUGAGUUCGGAUACGUUUGAUUCUCUGUGCUCUGAGUCAGAGGGGGACCAGCUUGAG
This is a long non-coding RNA of Oncorhynchus keta (chum salmon), 363 nucleotides long. RefSeq lists it as uncharacterized. The transcript has 3 exons. The record is from RefSeq and is a predicted model, not a curated record. Lineage: Eukaryota; Metazoa; Chordata; Actinopteri; Salmoniformes; Salmonidae.